Molecule: ribosomal RNA, 305 nt
Filed under: uncultured bacterium
Lineage: Bacteria
Description: bacterial SSU rRNA
Rfam family: Bacterial small subunit ribosomal RNA
Source: RNAcentral
ACCCUACGGGACGCAGCAGUGGGGGAUAUUGCACAAUGGGGGAAACCCUGAUGCAGCGACGCCGCUUGUGGGAAGACGGUCCUCUGGAUUGUAAACCACUGUCCCCAGGGACGAAAAUGACGGUACCUGGGGAGGAAGCUCCGGCUAACUACGUGCCAGCAGCCGCGGUAAUACGUAGGGAGCGAGCGUUGUCCGGAAUUACUGGGUGUAAAGGGCGCGUAGGCGGUAAUAUAAGUCAGAUGUGAAAGGUGGGGGCUCAACCCCUAGAGUGCAACUGAUACUGUAUAACUUGAGUGUGAGAGAGG